RNAcentral lists this ribosomal RNA (155 nucleotides) under uncultured Bacteroidota bacterium. RNAcentral's name for it is "uncultured Bacteroidetes bacterium partial 16S ribosomal RNA". It matches the Rfam family "Bacterial small subunit ribosomal RNA", at positions 355 to 507 of the family's 1533-position model. The record is from RNAcentral. Lineage: Bacteria; Pseudomonadati; Bacteroidota.
UAAGGAAUAUUGGACAAUGGGCGCAAGCCUGAUCCAGCCAUUCCGCGUGUAGGAUGACGGCCCUCUGGGUUGUAAACUACUUUUAUUUGGGAAGAAACCCUGGGAUUUAUCCCGGGCUGACGGUACCAAAAGAAUAAGCACCGGCUAAUUCCGUG